This is a long non-coding RNA of Drosophila innubila, 1179 nucleotides long. RefSeq lists it as uncharacterized. The transcript is spliced from 2 exons. Lineage: Eukaryota; Metazoa; Arthropoda; Insecta; Diptera; Drosophilidae. The record is from RefSeq and is a predicted model, not a curated record.
UAUAAUAUAACAAUAAUAAUAACAGCAAGUACUGCACAAAUGUGACAGUAAGUGGAGCAAGACGUAGAAAACGGCGUCGCUUGAUAAGCACAAAGAAUACAUAAGAACAAUGCAUAAACAGAGAGUGAAACACACAGCUGAUUAUUGGCAGAAACCGACUGCAACUACAAACACAUGUACAUAUUUAGUAUAUUGAGGGAAGUACCUAUAGUAAAAUUGUCUCGACAACAAACCAAACACCUGUUAAGAGGCUUAUUUGCUAGCUGCAGUUCCAAUCGUUUCAUAGCAUGCAUUUCAAGUACUUUCAUAGAGAUCCGCAGCGAAUGGACGCCUAGCAACAAGUCGCCUCAAAGGGCAGCCACAGCAAUUAAGCGAAAAAUGGAAAAAUAAUGAUGGCAAAAUGUGUUGACGACAUCGACAUCGACAUCGACAUCCACAUCGUCACAACGUCGGUCGGCCCAUACUCGUUCGUAUCAUGUGACGCCGUUUCGUUGUACACCUGAACACAGACAGAACACAGAGCCCAACAACACGAACUGUAAACUGAGCGAGGAAAGCAGAAGAUUCAGCAAAAAUUUGCAAACGUUGCUAUCGAAUCGUAUCGAAUGAAAUUGUAUCGAAUCGAAUGCUCAAAACAUAAAUAAAGUUUGUCUACAAUACGUACUUCAAAUGAAAGUAUAUAGUAAUAAUAGAGAAUAAAGCUAUUCUUCUCUUGGAAAUUGUCAGAUAUAAACAAAUAAAAUAAUAGAACUGUGAGAACAUAAACACUUAUGGAUUAUGGAGAUUUGAAAGAGAAAUUUGCCAAACGGAAGCUAUCAAUAUUCGAUCAACAACAAUUUAAAUACAAAGAGAUAAUGGAAAUAUCGCUUAUCUGGUGCUAUCAAUCAAUGAGAAUAAACAAGAAUGUUGUCGGUACUCACCCAAGGGCUCCUGUGGCGUUGGUGUCUCCGCUUGAGGAGGAUGAGGAGGCAGCUGCUGUUGUUCGAUGCAAACUGAUGGCUGAGGAGCUUGUGGCUGCUGUUGAAUGAUAUGAUGUGGAGAUGGUGCCUGGACAAGCAUAGUUGGCGGUGCAUCUGUCCAGGUGAUAGGUAUGGCACCAACUGGUGCAGCACCACAUUCUGUCAGCUCAUCCUCAUACUGAAAUAAAAGUAGAUAAAUAAAUAAAUGAGUUGACCAAAA